CUGCGGAAAACAGCCACAGGAAUCUUCAAAUGAUCACUGGAAUGGACUCUUGCCUGAAAACACAGAAUGGACUGCCGUUUCUACCACCUUGGAGAUGCUGGGUCAUAUUGUUCACCAUCUGUGACCCAAUGGAUGGGGUUGUACCUGUACUGUGAACUGUCAGCCUGUCGUUGACAUAGUUGUAGUUGUACUAUUAACAGUCGGCCUGCUGCUGAUGCUAUUGCUAGGGCAAUGGGUCUUGUUGCAAUUUUCUCUUGUAAUUUUCCCUUUGCAAAUUUUCUCUUGUAAUUU
RNAcentral lists this long non-coding RNA (291 nucleotides) under Triticum aestivum (bread wheat). Its description in RNAcentral is "long non-coding RNA (TAES_LNC024300)". Lineage: Eukaryota; Viridiplantae; Streptophyta; Magnoliopsida; Poales; Poaceae. The record is from RNAcentral.